Vicia villosa (hairy vetch) is the source of this 2766-nucleotide long non-coding RNA. RefSeq lists it as uncharacterized. The record is from RefSeq and is a predicted model, not a curated record. NCBI's taxonomy places the organism in Eukaryota, Viridiplantae, Streptophyta, Magnoliopsida, Fabales, Fabaceae. The transcript has 12 exons.
ACAAUAUCUAUCAUAUAAGAAAAGUCUACCAUUUGGGACUUUCUUAAGCUAUCCACAUCAGCAACUCUUCUAUGGUUGAUCCACAUCAGCAUCCUCAAAAUUAACUUCUUCUUCCACUAUGAUUCGGCAGUUACAUCCUCCUGUUUUUCAAUUUCCACUAUCAUCAUAACUACCCUUAAACCCCAUCCUCUUUCACGGUUACGAAAUUUCCAUCUCCCCUUCCAAUCUUCUUCUACAGCGGUUUCACAAAACCCUUUCUCUUACAAAUAGUUUCUAAUUUCUCUGUAACAUGGAUUCAUUAAACUUUCUCUGUCUGUUGCAGUUACAGAUACUUUAAUUCUCUACCCAUCCACGUUCUAAACUGCUACACUUUGGUUGAUCAAUAUACGCCCAUCCACGUUCCAAUCUUCUUCUUCUACAGCGGUUUCAGACAACCAUUUAUCUUUCAUUGGGCUUCUGAUUUAUUCGUCUUUUCUCUCUUUCAACUUUGAUUUUGAUUUAGUUUUCAAAGUUUCAGGUUUCAUGGUGUUGGCUCACGCGGAAAAGGAAAGAUCCAUCGCCGAUACAGUUUCUGAUGAUGCGUCGGUGUUGGUUGUGGUGGACGGAGAUUAAUACUCUAAAACAGGUUCGAUGAUGAAGCACAAGUUUGCUUGGCCAUAAAAAAGAAAGGAUGGCAAUGAGAGAGAUUGAUCGGUUCUUUUUAGUAUUUUGAUUUUGUUUAUGCUUUGAAUUUCAGGUGGCUGUUCGUUUUGAUUUGGGUUUCUAAUGUUGUCUCAGGAGGGAUAAAGUACGGGAAUGGUAUAACAUGGUAUAUCUUGCCAUCAUUUCAUUAUUUGGAUGGGCUUAUAGCUUGCCACUUACAUUCAGCAUUCAGGAUUUUGCGUAUCUUUAUGAUCCAAACAAUGAGAUUGCUGGAGCGUGAAGCUGAAUUUUCUAUAUUUGUUACAUUUUGAUUUCAACAAAAGGAUUGUGAUUUAAUUUGCGAUCAUUUUUUGCGGAGGAUGGGAUUGGAGGAAGAAGUGAGGGGGGAACUUGCAAUCGAGAGAGAAUUGGGGAUUUCAAUACAGAGGCUGCUGAAUAUCCAGGGACUAAUGUCGUAGUGGUCAAAUUCAAUGCUGAUGAACCCUGUUGCUGUUGGCCAUAUUGGUGCGUCGCAACCGCAAUUGAUUACUUGGAACUGAUAUUUAUUGAUAAAAAUGUAAGUAACUUUAGAACCAAAAUGUCAUUUAUUUUAUCUUAAUUAUGAAUGAAUGGCAAAUUUCUGUCUUAAACUUCAUCUGACAAGGGUAUAGUGAUUGAAUCAUCUGAUUUGUAAAUACACAAAUUUUUUAUACGGAGAUCCUUUUACUUCUUAGAAUGCUAACAGACCUCUACCUGUUUGGUUGAAAGAUCAUGAACCAGUAAGUUCUUUUAUUUCAAAGAUUACACAUUCUUUGUGAUCACAUAAUUUGUUUGCUUGCUUAGAAUUAGAAGCUUUAAAGUGCAAAGGUUCUGUUAACAGGGAAUGAAGCUUUUGAAGAUGCAAAACCUGUAAUUGAAGCUUUAAAACGCAAAGGUGUUUUGUCUAUAGGAUCUCCCUCUUUUUGUUGGGGUGAAAUGGACUAUUGUUGAAAAGCUGAAUGAAGAAGUAGUCAAGGAUGGUCAACAUCUAAGGCAUUUAAUUGGCAUAUGUAAAGAGUUGUAGAAAAUAUAGCACUUUGUGGGCACUUAUUACCACUAUUCAUGAAAAUAAAUUGUAUCCGCAUCUCAUAGGCAAGUGGGGGGAACUACUUUAAAUGAUAAUGAGAAACCUUCAUUUGGUGUACAGAAGAGAAACAUGUCCACCAUGAAAAGGGGUUAUAUGAGGUUGAAUGGAGAGGUUUUACAAAGUUCACAGCUUCUGUCAAGGAGAAGCUAUUCAUCAGCUUCAGAUUUUGUCAUGAAGAUCAGAGAAAUAGUUGUUACAGACAACACAACGUUGGAACCCGGGAAAUCUACAGGCGGUGGACUCUUCAUUCCCGCAAAAGUGUGGAGGGUCUCAAGUGCAGUGGGUGGAAGAAACAGGAAAGUUGCUGAGGCUUAUGCAAAGAAUGGAGGGAAGAGGUUUUGGUGAGUUGAAACAUGGCUAGGGUGUAAGCAAAAACGAUGCUGAAGUUUGGGAUGAGACCAUAUGGAGAGCUUGAGGAGAAACCUACAAGAUGGGAGCUUGAAGUUGGGCAUUAGGUCUAGCGUAGCUUUUUCUUUUGGUAUAGACAUAUAUAAUAGGACUUUGCAAUGGAUGUGGGAGUAAUCAUGUGGAGUUGCAGGUAUAAUCAUAAAUUUUAUUAUGUCAAACGAAAAAUUAUAAUGUUUACUUUUGAAAAUGUAUUAUUUAGAAAAGUGCAAAAAGAAGUAGGUCAUAAUUUACUAUCAAAUACUCAAAUUUUAUUGUGUUCACAAUUUCUCCUUCACUUAGAGAAACUUGCAUCGUACCAGAGGUAAUUAUAUAUAACUAAUUGUUAUGAAGUAGAUGAAUGAACGUAAAAAGCUAUCAAAUAUUCAACCAUUUAUAGUAUUCCUGAAAUAGAGAUGUACAAAAAUAAAAUAAACCUAAUAAUGAUCCAGUUCUAAACUCAUGAGUGAUCAACCAAGCAUAGCAUGUGCUCACUCAACAAAAACCUCACUCAAAAAUUACAAAAAUGAUAUAAGAAAUAAUAAUCAUCAUCAUUAAAAUUCAUCACUAAAAUUCAUGCAUAAUAUUUUAAAAUUUUCAAAUUUAAUUACAGAUCGAAGCAUUAAGACUAAUAU